Molecule: long non-coding RNA, 2064 nt
Organism: Zeugodacus cucurbitae (melon fly)
Lineage: Eukaryota; Metazoa; Arthropoda; Insecta; Diptera; Tephritidae
Exons: 3
Source: RefSeq, a predicted model, not a curated record
UAGAUUAUAUGUUCAGAGAAUUUUACUACGAUAUCCCUGCCAGCCAAUCCUAACAACUUUCCCCAUAGGUUUCAACACAUUUACACAUUUUUUUGUGAAGGAGCAACACCAACGCACAUGUAUACGUCAUUUUUGAAAACUUAAUUAGAAUUUUCCAAACAAAAGAAAACUAGUUAUCUCAUUUCUUGUUCUUAUUGAAUGAGUACGAAUGGGAAAACAUAAUUGUCAUUAGUGGCAAAAGAAAAUCCCAAAAUGGGAAAUAAAAAAAUAUUGAAAAACGUCAUUUGCGCUUAUAAAACAAAAAAGUAUUCAAACGUUGCAACAUUCGCUUUUCGGAACUCAGGAGCACAUAAAAAUUGUAUGUUGGAUUUGUAUGUCUUCUAUGUCUAAAGUGGCCUGCGUAGUGCAAAAAUUGUGUGAAAAUAAAUAUGUUUAAAGAUUUCUGCGCUGUUGUAAAAUUAUUCAAAAACAAAUAUGAGCGGCCUGCGCAGUGCAAACAUUUUAUACGAUCCAAUAUGUGCAAUAUGUCUCCAGUGGGGUUGAUUUUCAAAUAUGUGCGGUUUAAUUUACAUAAAAUUUGAAGGCAUUGAUUAUAAAAAUUUAUUUAUUAUUUUUUUUUAUACUCUCGCAACAAAGUUGCUGAAGAGAGUAUUAUAGUUUUGUUCACAUAACUGUUGUUUGUGUCACAAAGAAAUAAAAGAGUAAGAUAUGGGAUUAUAUAUAUAAAUAAUCAAGAUGACGAGUGGAGUUGAAAUCCGGAUGUCUGUCCGUCCGUCUGUACGUGCAAGCGAUAACUUGAGUAAAAAUUAAAAUAUCUUAAUGAAACUUAGAACACAUGUUCCUUGGGACCGUGAGAGGGUUGCUUUCGAAAAUGGGCAAAAUCGGACCAUUGCCACGCCCUCAAAAUGGCGGAAACCAAAAACACAUAAAGUGUCAUAACUAAGCCAUGAUUAAAGUUAUAACAGUAAAAUUUGGAAUAAAGGAUCGCACUAGGAAGGGGCAUAUUUGGAUGUAAUUUUUUUGGGGAAGUGGGCGUGGCCCCUUCUCCAAAUCGGUUAUUUGUAUAUAUACAAAUCAAUGAAGCUACACAUAUAAACCAAACUUUCUACAGUCGAUUCUCUUACGUACCCCACCACACACCAUGAAAAUAGUUGAAAUCGGAUAAUAACCACGCCCACCUCCCAUGCAAAGGUAAAGUUCAAAAUUACUAAAAGUGAGUUAACUCACUAACGAAAAAAGGCUGGAACACUAAAUUUUACCGAAAAAAAUAACAGAAAGAAGCCGCGCUGAGAUUUUUUUACAAAAUGGAAAAUGGGCGCGGCAUCGCCCACUUAUAUGUCAAAAACCCUACCACAAGAACUACUCGACAGAUUUCAAUGAAAUUCGGUAUAUAACACUUUCUUGACACCCUUGAUAGAAUAUGGGGACAAUCGGUUCACAACCACGCCUACUUCUCAUAUAACUCAAUUUUGAAUUCUUCUAAUCCGUUCACUUUAUAAUAUAUACAUUAGUAACCAAUGAAGAUGGCGGAAUAAAACUUUACAGAAAUACUGUAAUUGAGCUAUGACAUCACUUGUGGAAAAAUUGUCAAAAUCGGACCAUGACUUUUCAACUUAUCGAACAUGAAGAACUUAGUGCCUAAGGGUAAUUUUUAACCGAAAAUAUAGUUUGUCUCUGUACCAAAAGUGGUUAAAAUCGGGUCAUAACUUCCCCCAGAUCCCAUUUACCUAAUUAUAGGUGAAAUAAAAUUAAGUGAGCGUAUAUUCUUCGAUAUAUUGUAUCUUGGUGGUGAAAACGAGUGAAAUCGGUUCAGGAAUUACCUCAGUCCCCAUAUACUACUUAAGAUGAUUUUCGUUACUCUAUUGAUCUUUAUGCCUAAUAUAUGGGUCGAAUUGUGUUAUCUUUAUAAAAUUACAUCAAUAAAUUGCGAGAGUAUAAAAUGUUCGGUUGCACCCUUUUCUUACUUGUUUAUGUAUGUAAGCGCCAUUUUAUGAAAUAUUUAAAACAAUACAAUAAAUGUGCAAAUGAUUUAUUUAAAUAAAAAAGCAAAUUAUCAAAAUUUUA